Zeugodacus cucurbitae (melon fly) is the source of this 2092-nucleotide long non-coding RNA. RefSeq lists it as uncharacterized. The transcript is spliced from 4 exons. The record is from RefSeq and is a predicted model, not a curated record. NCBI's taxonomy places the organism in Eukaryota, Metazoa, Arthropoda, Insecta, Diptera, Tephritidae.
UCGAGUUUUUGACAUAAGUUUAAAUGAAGAAACCUUUAACAACCAAUAAAGCCUCAUAAAGUUUAAGUUUACUUAAAAUGUUUUAACGUAUGUAAUAUUUUCAAAAAUAAAAAUAAUAAAAAUACAAAAGGCGAUAACUUUCUUUAAAAUUGGAAUUUUUGAAAUCGGAUUGGACACAAAUAUGGACUAUGAAUAGGAGAACUAGAAUAUAACCUUUACUCGAUUUUGACUUAAGUCGACUUAAGAUGUUAUGGCAAGAAGCGUUUCAAGUUGAUGAUCAGCUGAGUAUAGAGUACUCCACUACUCAAAUAACAGAUAUCAAAAUUUUAAAAUUAAUCACGUAUAAAGUUGAAAUAAGUGAAUAAUUGCCUUUUACGAAAUUGUACACAAACAGUGUAUUUCAUGGAACAUGAAUUUCCCGACGUAUCUACAGGAUAAUUUAAAAAUAAAGACUUAUGAAUCCAUUUUGGCGAUGGAAAGCAGUUUCCUUGGCGGCGGGAAAGAAGUAACACUAUCUCCCUACUCGUUUAAUGCUCUUCUCACUCUAUUCAACUACAUUUUACUUAAGUGGUCCCAUUCUACGAUAAAACGUAUAUUUGCCCCCUAUUGGUCAAGUUUUGCCAACUAAUAGCCUAGACAGACGGCAGAGUUAACCCCGAUAAACUGCACUUUUAAACAGUUCCAAAUAUGUAGGUGACAGACGGCAGCAAAGCGAGUUAUAAACUCCCAUAAACAGCUGACUGGCAAUAAUAUUUUCAGUUUGAAAAAAUUAGCUAUUUCAUUGCAUGCGUAUGUUUUUGUUUACAUUCAAUUGAAAAACAGCUGUCAGAAUUACAUAUUUUCAUUCACAAUAUGUUAAAAGUUGCCAUGUUUAACAAUGUUGCCAACGAAAAUGCCACGAACUCCCACUAACUCUCUAAAAUUUUGAGGAUUAAAUGGGAUUUAUCAAACGGAGUUAACUGACAUAUACCACGUUUAUGCUUCAUUUCUACUCGGAUAUAUUAUACACGGGUAAGUUCAACCCACAUGCAUAAAUACUUAUUCACCACGAAAACGUUUUAACUCGGAUGCAUAAACGGAUGUAGAGUUAAUUUGAACGGCAAAUCAGCUAAUUUUGUUGACGCAUACUGUUAAAUUAAAUAUAAUAUUUUUCUGUUUGUUGAUUAUUAAAUUUAUUUGAUUAAAAUGGAGCAAAAGAAAAGAAAUAUUUGGUUAGACGAAGAAGUAGUUAAUUUGAUUGAAAUAAUAAAAGAAAAAUCAAUAUUUAAAUUGUUAGACGGUUAAGUCAAAAGAAAUAAAAACGUAUACGAGAUGGUAGCAAAAGAGAUGCAGAAAAAAGGUUAUGUAGAAAAUACAGCACAAGUUCGUGAUAAGUUCAAAAUUUAAAGAGGGACUAUGUUAAAAUUAAACGAUGCAACACAAAAAGUGGAAGCCAACGACACUGUGGAAAAUAUUUUAAUUUGCUGGAUGACUUAUUGGGACACCGACCAUGUGUUACUGCGGAUGGUGUAGACACAUUUCUUGAUGUGUCAUGCGAUGAAUGGGAAACGGAAAACAACAACAUAUUUUAUUUCAAUAGUGGAUUCAGAAACAAUAUAUUUAGCAAUACCGGAACUAUGUUUUGACACGACAACAAUGAUCGAGACGAUAACAUCUAAUGCUACUAAUAUUGAUGAGCUAACACCACAAUGUUCGAAAUCCACAUUCAAACAUGCUGGAAAAAACUCGUAUCAAAAAGUUGUGGGCAAAUUUUCGGAAGAUUAGAAGGAGAAUCAAAAAGAAAUGCUGAAUGAUUUGAAAGUUCAAGUUGAACAAUUUUUGAAAAGUAUGGAUCAACAAAUUGAACGGGAGCGCGACAUUUUAAACGAACAUAGAGAUGAAAUAUCCAUAAUGAUGGAAAAAGACCGUGUUGAAAUAAUGAGUAUGUUCGAAUCAAUGCUUGCAGCUAUGCAACCCCCGACACAUUCAUCUUCAAAUUAAUUAAAUAGUUUAAAAUAAGAAAUUUUAGAUUUAUAUUAUUUAAAAAACACACAUGUACACUGAUAUGAAUUAAUGAAAUUAAAUGCGAGAGCGUCGUAAUGUAAAAUUAUUA